GAUGAAGAACGCAGCGAAAUGCGAUAAGUAGUGUGAAUUGCAGAAUUCAGUGAAUCAUCGAAUCUUUGAACGCACAUUGCGCCUCCUGGCAUUCCGGGAGGCAUGCCUGUUCGAGCGUCAUCAAACCCCAUCGUGCAAAUGAAUUAUUUUUUUUGCGCGGAAGUGACGAUUGAGCGAGAAUAACAAAUCCUCUCGCACCUCGUCGAAAUGAUUGCGGGCGGAAUUUGGGAUCGGGUUCCUCGGCGUAGUGUAUCAAUGCAUAUUUAUGCAACUUGCCGCGGAGUUGAGCCUGACCCACGCGUUCUCGCCGUACAAACACCUCAUUACUUUACAAGUUUUUGACCUCGGAUCAGGUAGGGAUACCCGCUGAACUUAAGCAUAUCAAUAAGCGGAGGA
RNAcentral lists this unclassified non-coding RNA (396 nucleotides) under soil metagenome. RNAcentral's name for it is "partial contains 5.8S ribosomal RNA, internal transcribed spacer 2, and large subunit ribosomal RNA". The stretch from base 1 to 120 matches the Rfam family "5.8S ribosomal RNA", at positions 35 to 154 of the family's 154-position model. The record is from RNAcentral.